Molecule: transfer RNA, 78 nt
Filed under: Sphaerodactylus townsendi
Lineage: Eukaryota; Metazoa; Chordata; Lepidosauria; Squamata; Sphaerodactylidae
Description: tRNA-Ala
Source: RNAcentral
GCUAGGGCCAUGGCUCAGCGGUGGAGCAUCUGCUUGGCAUGCCGAGGGCCCUGAGUUCGAUCCCCGGCACCUUCAGUU